UGGAUUAAAUAGUAAUUUUCCCUAUCUCAAAUUCUCCCCAAGAACCAUAAGUUUUAGACUUAUUCCACUUUUCAUCUAAGCAUCAAUUGUCCCUACCAUAUACAGAUGCGUUAUUCCCACCAUUCUAUCUUUUAGUACCCAAUAAACCUCAAAAUAUUUGAAACACUUCCUUACCCAAGCUCUAGGGUCAGUCCCAUCAAAAGUUACUAGUUCAAUCUUGGGCAAAAUCUUUUCUACCCCACUGAUUCCAUCACAAAAUUAAAAAUUGCUUGAUCCUUCACAUGAGGAUUCGAGGAUUCCUUUGAAGUUUGUAAAGAACACUUACUUGUCACUCGUUAGAAUUCUUGCAAUUUACAUUAAUCGUUCCUUCCCUUUGUCGUCAAAAAACCCUAGCAUUAGGGUUUUUGAUCUUCCCACAGUAGUCUUAAUUGAUUUCUCAACUGCUCUUUUGUUCUCAGCAGCAUCCUUCCUAAUUCCCUCCUGUAGUUUCUUGAAAUCAUUUCUCAGCAUUUCCAUCUCUUUCCUUGUUUUUCGAGAUUUGCCUUGCAAGAAAUCCAACUUUCUUCCAAUUCUACCAUUUAGACAUCAUCUUGACUCAUAACCACUAAUUUGGUAAUGGAUUGUGAGCCAAAAGAACCAAAUUGCAAGUUAAGCCCACGCAGUUCUCAAGCUUUGAUACCAAACGUUAGGUAGAAACCCUGAUAACAAUUAUUUAGAGUAGAAACAGGCAGAAAAUUAAUGGACU
This 745-nucleotide unclassified non-coding RNA is filed under the name Hevea brasiliensis (rubber tree). The record is from RNAcentral. Lineage: Eukaryota; Viridiplantae; Streptophyta; Magnoliopsida; Malpighiales; Euphorbiaceae.